ACGUUAAAGUCGAAGAAAUGAGUAACUAGUUACCGGUAUUUAGAGAGUCAUUGGCUGCUGGAAAAUGACUACCCAAAUUAGUGAAGAUGGUUUCUUUAUUAUAAAGAUGAAUCGGCUAGUUUUAAAUGAACCGAUUACGGGUUAACCGUUAUCUUGAUCGAGGAUUUGAAUUUAUUCAAAUCAAAGAAUGGUGGUACCACGUGCAAGCGUCCUUUCA
This 217-nucleotide non-coding RNA is filed under the name Liquorilactobacillus ghanensis. RNAcentral describes it as "Lactobacillus ghanensis T-box sequence". It matches the Rfam family "T-box leader". From Rfam's summary of the family: Uncharged tRNA acts as the effector for transcription antitermination of genes in the T-box leader family. T-boxes are found upstream of many aminoacyl-tRNA synthetase genes and some amino acid biosynthetic genes usually in Gram-positive bacteria. Lineage: Bacteria; Bacillati; Bacillota; Bacilli; Lactobacillales; Lactobacillaceae. The record is from RNAcentral.